This 448-nucleotide ribosomal RNA is filed under the name uncultured bacterium. RNAcentral's name for it is "partial 16S ribosomal RNA". It matches the Rfam family "Bacterial small subunit ribosomal RNA", at positions 329 to 793 of the family's 1533-position model. The record is from RNAcentral.
UUCCAGACUCCUACGGGAGGCAGCAGUGGGGAAUAUUGCACAAUGGGGGAAACCCUGAUGCAGCGACGCCGCGUGAGUGAAGAAGUAUUUCGGUAUGUAAAGCUCUAUCAGCAGGGAAGAAGCAAGACGGUACCUGACUAAGAAGCCCCGGCUAACUACGUGCCAGCAGCCGCGGGAAUACGUAGGGGGCAAGCGUUAUCCGGAUUUACUGGGUGUAAAGGGGGCGCAGACGGCGAUGCAAGCCAGGAGUGAAAGCCCGGGGCCCAACCCCGGGACUGCUCUUGGAACUGCGUGGCUGGAGUGCAGGAGGGGCAGGCGGAAUUCCUGGUGUAGCGGUGAAAUGCGUAGAUAUCAGGAGGAACACCGGUGGCGAAGGCGGCCUGCUGGACUGCAACUGACGUUGAGGCCCGAAAGCGUGGGGAGCAAACAGGAUUAGAUACCCUAGUAU